UACGAAGGGUGCAAGCGUUAGUCGGAAUUACUGGGCGUAAAGCGUGCGUAGGUGGUUUCUUAAGUCCGUUGUGAAAGCCCCGGGCUCAACCUGGGAAUGGCAGUGGAUACUGAGAGGCUAGAGUGUGUCAGAGGAUGGUGGAAUUCCCGGUGUAGCGGUGAAAUGCGUAGAGAUCGGGAGGAACAUCAGUGGCGAAGGCGACUUCCUGGCCUGUUCUUGACGCUGAGGCGCGAAAGCUAGGGGAGCAAACGGG
This 253-nucleotide ribosomal RNA is filed under the name uncultured bacterium. RNAcentral describes it as "partial 16S ribosomal RNA". It matches the Rfam family "Bacterial small subunit ribosomal RNA", at positions 524 to 776 of the family's 1533-position model. The record is from RNAcentral.